UCAGAUAUCUAUUGUUUUUAACUAAUUUAUAGCCCUAUUCAUCUCCUUCCUUCCUUCCUUCCUUCCUUCCUUCCUUCCUUCCUUCCUUCCUUCCUUCCUUCCUUCCUUCUUUCCCUCUUUCUUUCUUUCUUUCUUUCUUUCUUUCUUUCUUUCUUUCUUUCUUUCUUUCUUUCUUUCUUUCUUUCUUUCUUUCUUUCUUUCUUUCUUUCUUUCUUUCUUUCUUUCUUUCUUUCUUUCUUUCUUUCUUUCUUUCUUUCUUUCUUUCUUUCUUUCUUUCUUUCUUCCUUCCUUCCUUCCUUUCUCUUUCUCUCUUUCUUUCUCUCCUUUCUCUCCUUUCUUUCUUUCUUUCUUUCUUUCUUUCUUUCUUUCUUUCUUUCUUUCUUUCUUUCUUUCUUUCUUUCUUUCUUUCUUUCUUUCUUUCUUUCUUUCUUUCUUUCUUUCUUUCUUUCUUUCUUUCUUUCUUUCUUCCUUCUUUCCUUCCUUCCUUCCUUCCUUCCUUCCUUCCUUCCUUCCUUCCUUCCUUCCUUCCUUCCUUCCUUCCUUCCUUCCUUCCUUCCUUCCUUCCUUUCUUUCUUCCUUCCUUCCUUCCUUUCUAUUAAUAUUUUAUUAAUUUUAAUUUAGAAUAUUUUCCCAAGGUUACCUCCAUUUCUUAAGUUGGGAAUACCGUGGGAAUACCUUUUCAACUUUCUUUACAAGACAGUGAUAAAGAUCAAAUAAGAUAAUGUAGAAGCAUAAGAAAAUGUUUCAAAUUCUCUGUUGUGGUGAGGAUUUUUAAAAAUUUUAAUUAAGAUGAUUAAAAAAGGCAUACAUUUUAAUACUUUGAAACCAGAUGUAGAUCACUUCAUGAGGGAGAGUACCUGGUUUCCUGCAAGGUAUUACACUGACCAUUAAAGUACCUUUCUGGGUUGCCUAACAAAAUGGUACAAACAUUUGGCUGAGAAGACUACUGGAACUCUGUAGUAUACCACAUAUCCUGGAAAUAAGACAAAAAUACCACCUUUCUAUAGAACUUCAAAGUUUGCAGUGUCCCUUUCAUAAAAAACAAACAAACAAAAAAACAAACAACCUUAUGAAGCAGGAUAUGUUAUUAGCAUUACAAGCAUUACAUUAUUAUAUUAUUAUAUUAUAAGCAUUACAUUAUUACCA
Molecule: long non-coding RNA, 1146 nt
Filed under: Monodelphis domestica (gray short-tailed opossum)
Lineage: Eukaryota; Metazoa; Chordata; Mammalia; Didelphimorphia; Didelphidae
Description: lncRNA (ENSMODG00000042581.1)
Source: RNAcentral